CCUACAUGAAGUCGGAAUUGCUAGUAAUCGCGGAUCAGCAUGCCGCGGUGAAUACGUUCCCGGGCCUUGUACACACCGCCCGUCACACCAUGGGAGUCGGUAACACCCGAAGCCUGUAGUCUAACCGCAAGGGGACGCAGUCGAAGGUGGGAUUGAUGACUGGGGUGAAGUCGUAACAAGGUAGC
Molecule: ribosomal RNA, 185 nt
Filed under: uncultured bacterium
Lineage: Bacteria
Description: partial 16S ribosomal RNA
Rfam family: Bacterial small subunit ribosomal RNA
Source: RNAcentral